RNAcentral lists this long non-coding RNA (2568 nucleotides) under Salvia miltiorrhiza (redroot sage). RNAcentral's name for it is "long non-coding RNA (SMIL_LNC000864)". The record is from RNAcentral. Lineage: Eukaryota; Viridiplantae; Streptophyta; Magnoliopsida; Lamiales; Lamiaceae.
GAAAUGUCACUCAUAGAUAAAAUGCUAGGAUCAUAUAUGAUCAUUUGGAUACUUAUAAAACAUACACAUAAAAGAGAACUGAUUAAGGUGGGUUACCCAAUAACACGUGUAACAACUUCAUAACAUAGAGUUAUCCUAAUCAAAGUGUUUUGCAGCGGAAAACGUGUGAGAUAUACAUAUGAAGAUGUAUACUCAAGGUUACAUUUCUUGAAAUGUCAAAGGAACACCCGCUCAACAUCAUUCCAUUCCAUCAACUGCUCAACCUGCACAUUUAGAAAUACAUGCAGGGCUGAGUAUAAAAAUACUCAGUGGGCAUAGCCGAAAAUACAACAUGCAUACAUAUAUAAAUUGAACUAGCCAUAACAGUAACACUACAGGGGUUUUCUUAAAUGACCUGCGCUUACUAAAUAUUCUUUCAUUUUCAUAAAGUCGAUCGGCCGAUCAUUUCCUUCAUAUGAUCCAUAUCUGUCCUUCUGUCACGCGCCGGAAGAGGCCUCCUUACCACGGACGCCAAGACCGGUCGCAAGCGACUCGCGGUCUCCAUAAGUGUACACGUUAACCCUAGCUAGCGACCUUUGUCUAGCAUAGGAUCCCAAUUGGAUUUCCUUUAAAGUUGGCGAACCAACACAGAUAGGAUACAUAUAAAAACAUAAACAUUUUUGGCAGUCAACCAUUUCAUAAACAUUUCAUUUUCAUAACAUUUUCAUUUUCAUAAAGGGCAUUGAACAUAUAAGCAUUUUAUAAGAACUGAAUAAAUAGUCAAAACAUAUCAUGCAUAUAUAUUCGCAUAUGAGGCCUACGUCACGCAGGGGAUCUCUAUAUACGUAAUAAUAAAAUAAUGCCCACCUGUAUAGGCAAAGCCUGUCGUUUAACCUUAUCUCUGAAUCGGAAUAGCAGUGCUAAUCCUUCUGAUGCUCGAAGCCUACAAGAAAUCUAUUCUUAAUAGGUCUCCUUGAAUUCUAAUCUUAAGUCACGGUGAAGUGCUUAAUAUUCUAUGAUUCACUUAGCCGGGUUUUCAAAAUUUAAAUAAAUAAUUGAAAACAUUUCUCUUGAGUUAAGAACACCAACAAUAUUCUUACUCAUCUUUAAUUAAUAAUUGGAAUUAUAAAUAAAACCAAUUAAAUCAUAAAUAUUUUUAUUGCAAAAUAUAAUGCAAAUCAUAUCAUGCUUAGCAUAUAUUAAGUAAUUUACUUAAAAUAUGUACAUAAUAAUAAUAUAAUAUUAUUAUGAAAACUAGUCUUUGAAAAUAAUUAAUCAAACUAAUUAAUAGUUCAAUUAAUUAUAAUAGGGUAGCCCAAUUAAAUAAAUUAAUAAAGGCCCAAUAGAUUUAAUAAUUAAAAGCCCAGCUGAAAUAAAAAUAAAUAAAAUCUCGGCCCAUGACUCGAGCCCACUACUAAUUAAAAUCGGCCCACUCUCUAACAAAAUUUUCAGCCCAACACUAAUUAAAAACCCGGCCCAAAUUUAAAACCCAACUCCUAACCCAAACCUAAAGCCCAACAUCCCACCCCCUUUUCUUCCCUACUCCCUCUCUCGGUCACACUCACAACACAAACGCAGACACAUCUAGCGGCUGCGCCGCCCAGCCUCCUUCUUCCUCGUUCUCUUUUUCGGCGUCGACGGAUAAGCCGCCACCGCCGCCUGGACUCCCUCUGAUCUCUCUCUAACUCACAACCAUGGUCAAGACUCACACACCCACAAAUCAGUCCGACUGCUCGCCUCUCUCGACUGAUCCGCCGCCGCCUGCUCCAACCCCGGCGAAUUCACGGCUGGAAGGCUGCCGUCUCUCUCUCUCCCUCGAAUCUCCUCCGUCUCUCGCCCUGCCGCUGCCAAGCCGCGGCCGCGUCUCCGGCGAAGGGCGUCAUCUCUGGUCACUUCUCCCUUGAAUCCCCCUUGGCGACGACGAGCGCCGCCGCCUCCCUCGGUCUCUCUCUCGGCGACAGCAGCAGCCGGAGCCACCGUCGCCGACACCCUCAGCAAUACCCAGCCCAGACCACCUCUCCCUCUCCAGCUGUGGCCGGGCAGCAGCGGCACCACCAUCGCCGCCCUCAAAUUCCCAGCGAGUAGCAGCCACCAAGCUGCCACCACCGCCGCCCAUUUCCCUUCUGUUCUCCCUCGUCUCCGGCAGUGGCUAACCACCACCACCGACCGCAUCUCCUUCCCCACUCUUCACCGUGGCUAGGCAGCAACGGCAGAGCCGCAGCGCCUAGCCUCCCUCUCGACUCCAUUUUUCAAAAAUACAUCAAAAUUGGCAUGCUUCAUAUAUGUAUCUAUAUGCACAUAAAUUGUAUGUCUGAACACUUGGUGAUUUUAAGAAAUUGUUGUUCUUUAUGAAUGUGUAUACAUAUGCACCGAAAUGAUGAGAUGAAAGUAUGUGAAGGUUUGAUGUGUUACAAUUGCAGUGUCAUAACUGAAUGAGCAAGUAUAAAAUAGAUAGAGAGAUUCAAAGAUGAAACCUCUGGUUUGAGUUGCUGAAAUCUGAGUUUUGUGGCAAUUUGAUCCAUUCGCAAUAUGGCUGAGCUCUGCACUUGGAUUUCUUUGGGUUUGUUGGAACUAGAGAGUAACUUGAGG